UACAGAGGGUGCAAGCGUUGUUCGGAAUUACUGGGCGUAAAGCGCGUGUAGGCGGUUUGGUAAGUCAGACGUGAAAUCCCUUGGCUUAACUGAGGAACUGCGUCUGAUACUGCUUAACUAGAGUGUCGGAGGGGAUGGUGGAAUUCCUGGUGUAGAGGUGAAAUUCGUAGAUAUCAGGAGGAACACCUGUGGCGAAGGCGGCCAUCUGGAAGACAACUGACGCUGAGACGCGAAAGCGUGGGUAGCAAACAGG
RNAcentral lists this ribosomal RNA (253 nucleotides) under uncultured bacterium. Its description in RNAcentral is "partial 16S ribosomal RNA". It matches the Rfam family "Bacterial small subunit ribosomal RNA", at positions 524 to 776 of the family's 1533-position model. The record is from RNAcentral.